GUAAUUAAGAAGAUAAAAUAAGUGAUAAAAAUUGUUAUGGCAAACUUUGAGCUAUAAUGACUUGGCUUUGAGUUGGUAGGAAAAAGUUCCUUCCUGGGUCAAAAAUUUGCUGAAAUUGUUUCUUGGAAGAAAGGUCUGUUAAUCCUAAUAUGUCUAAUAAUUGCUAGCUCUGUGUGCUUGUGGGUGUUCAUAUUUCAUGGUUGUAUUCUUGUAAUCCACAACUAGCCUUUCACUGUUCCAUGUAACACACAUUUCCAUUCACACCCAGCUUAGCUCAGAGCUACUUCAACUUGAGUUAACUGCUUGGACAUGUGGCUGGCAUUCUGGUUCAUGAGUUGCAAAGGCGCUCACUUCCAUGCUGCUGAUCUGGCUUUGUUAAAUGACUCUGUCUUGUCAGUCAGUGUGUGGUUACCAUGGUCUCCUCUCUGGAAGUGCAAAGGCUGAGUUUCAAGUUUAGUGGGAAAUGUAAACAAGGGCUCUGGAAGGAGUGUUUUUUUUGGAAGUGAGAUGACAAGAUGUUCACCUCUGAUGUUUUGGCUGGAGGGUGUCUAGUGCAGAUAAGGAUCUGUGGACAUUUCUUGCUGUUUCAUAAAUAUCAUAACACCAAUACCCAUAUAUGAGAUGAGGUUUUAAAAUAAUAGUUAUACUACAAACAAUAAAUCCUGAAACAGAGUGGUAUCUUUUAUUGAAUUCCUUAAAAACUGUCCAAUAAUGUAAGGCUCCCUCUUGAUGUGUUUAUUUAGGGGAACACAUCACUGUUUAGAGAAUAUACAGAGGCUGAAAUUACCCAGAUCAAUGCUUAUUUUGCAUACUUAUAUGUUAUGUAAUAAGAACAAAGAUAAGUUAGGAAGAAAAUUUAAGAUAGAAUUGAAAUAUACUCUUAAAAAUAUUACUUCAUAAUUAUAAGUAUUUGGUAUCAUUCUAUGCAUGUCUUCAAAUUCACUUUACAAAGUAGUAAAUAGUUAUAUAAACCAUGAUUAUACAUUUAUGGAAUGAAUACCAAAAAAUGAUUUAUUCUAAUAUUAUGGAAUUCCAUGUUUCACCUUGGGAUAAAAUUUUCAGGAAUAGUAUUAUACUCGAAUAGAAAUCAUAUCUGAACAAUACACAAGAAGGAUAAUUUACUUCAGGUAAAUGUAUUACAAUACAUAGUCUAGUGAAAACAAAGAUGGGUAACAUUGAAGGAACAAAUAAAUAAUUAAAAUAAAAUAAAGUACUUUUAUUUUGGCAGGGAAGUAAUAAAUAUAUAAAUGAAUCUAUAUAUAGACACAAAAAUUAUAUAUAAUAUAUACCUACAUAUGUGUGUGUAUGUUUGUGUGUAUUGCUUUUUAGGGCCACACUCAUGACAUAUGGAAGCACAUGGAAGUUCCCAGGGUGGGGGUUGAUUCAGAGGAACAGUUGCUGGCCUUUGCCACAGCAGCGUAAGAUCUGAGCCGUACCUGUGACCUACACUAUAGCUCAUGGCAAUGCCGGAUCCUUAACUCACUGAACGAGACCAGGGAUGGAAUCUGCAUCCUCAUGGAUCCCGUUGGGUUCAUUACUGCUGAGCCAUGACAGGAACUCCUCUGUAUGUAUAUUUAAAAGUUCAACCUUAGGAGUUCCCAUUGUGUCUCAUGGGAUAAAAACCCGACAUGGUGUCUUUGAGGAUUCAGGUUCAAUCCCUGGCUUUGAUUAGUGAGUUAAGGAUCCAGCGUGCCACAGCUUAUGAUAUAGAUUGCAGUAGAUGCUGCUUGGAUCCAACAUUGCUGUGGCUAUGGUAUAGGCCAGCAGCUACAGCUCUGAUUUGACCCCUAGUCCAGAAACUUGCAUAUGCCACAGGUAUGGCCCUGAAAAUACAAAAAAAAAAA
This 1844-nucleotide long non-coding RNA is filed under the name Sus scrofa (pig). Its description in RNAcentral is "lncRNA (ENSSSCG00045010643.1)". Lineage: Eukaryota; Metazoa; Chordata; Mammalia; Artiodactyla; Suidae. The record is from RNAcentral.